This is an RNA transcript of Sapajus apella (tufted capuchin), 1560 nucleotides long. It is a transcript of the gene named succinate--CoA ligase [ADP-forming] subunit beta, mitochondrial pseudogene, with no coding region annotated. Lineage: Eukaryota; Metazoa; Chordata; Mammalia; Primates; Cebidae. The record is from RefSeq and is a predicted model, not a curated record. The transcript has a single exon.
UCAGAAAUGGCUGCCUCCAUGUUCUACAGCUGGUAGUUGACCACCUCUACCUUUUGGAACCACCGGCCUCAGGUUCUGGGAAAUUCUGGAUUGUUUAAUAAACAUGGAUUCCAAGUACAGCAGCAACAGCAAAGGAAUCUCACACUACAUGAAUACGUGAGUAUGGAAUUAUUGCAAGAAGCUGAUGUCUCUGUUCCCAAAGGAUAUGUGGCAAAGUCACCAGAUGAAGCUUAUGCAAUUGCCAAAAAAUUAGGUUCAAAAGAUGUUGUGAUAAAGGCACAGGUUUUAGCUGGUGGUAGAGGAAAAGGAACAUUUGAAAGUGGCCCCAAAGAAGGAGUGAAGAUAGUUUUCUCUCCAGAAGCAGCAAAAGCUGUUUCUUUUCGAAUGAUUGGAAAAAAGUUGUUUACCAAGCAAACGGGAGAAAAGGGCAGAAUAUGCAAUCAAGUAGUGGUCUGUGAGCGAAAAUAUCCCAAGAGACAGUACUAUUUAGCAAUAACAAUGGAAAGGUCACUUCAAGGUUCUGUAUUAAUAGGCAGUUCACAUGGUGGCGUCAACAUGGAAGAUGUUGCUGCUGAGACUCCUGAAGUAAUAAUUAAAGAACCUAUUGAUAUUGUAGAAGGCAUCAAAAAGGAACAAGCUCUCUGGCUUGCACAGAAGAUGGGAUUUCCACCUAAUAUCGUGGAUUCAGCAGCAGAAAACAUGGUCAAGCUUUACGGUCUUUUUCUGUAAACGAUGCAACCAUGAUAGAGAUAAAUCCAAUAGUGGAAGAUUCAGAUGGAGCUGUGUUGUGUACGGAUGCAAAGAUCAGUUUUGACUCUAAUUCAGCCUAUUGCCAGAAGAAAAUCUUUCAUCUACAGGACUGGACCCAGGAAGAUGAAAGGGACAAAGAUGCUGCUAAGGCACGUCUGAGCUACACUGGCCUUGAUGGAAAUAUAGGCUGCCAAGUAAAUGGUGCUUGUUUGGCUAUGGCCACAAUGGAUAUAAUGAAACUUUAUGGAGGGACUCCAGCCAACUUCUUUGAUGUUGGUGGUGGUGCUGCAAUCCAUCAAGUAACAGAAGCGUUUAAGCUUAUCACUUCAGAUAAAAAGGUACUGGCUAUUCUGGUCAACAAUUUUGGAGGAAUCAUGCUCUGUGAUGUUAUUGCACAGGGUAUAGUCAUGGCAGUAAAAGAUUUGGAAAUUAGAAUCCCCGUUGUGGUACAGUUACAAGGUACGUGGGUCGAUGAUGCUAAGGCACUGAUAGUGGACCACGGACUUAAAAUACUUGCUUGUGAUGACUGGGAUGAAGCUGCUAGAAUGUUGCUAAAGCUCUCUGAAAUAGUGGCCUUUGCAAAGCAAGCACAUGAGGAUGUGAAAUUUCAGUUGCCAAUAUGAUCUGAAAACCCAGUGGAUGGCUGAAGGUGUUAAAUGCGCUGUAAUCAUUAAGAAUACUAUGUUCUGUGUUAUUGUUCUUUUUCUUUUUAGUGUGUGGAGAUUGUAAUUACUAUCUAGGCACACAAACAUUUAAAAGCAUUUGGUCUGCAUUUAAUUCUACCAUUCAGAAUGAACUGUUUGUACGAAG